Molecule: ribosomal RNA, 500 nt
Filed under: uncultured bacterium
Lineage: Bacteria
Description: bacterial SSU rRNA
Rfam family: Bacterial small subunit ribosomal RNA
Source: RNAcentral
AGUGAACGCUGGCGGCAGGCCUAACACAUGCAAGUCGAACGGCAGCACAGCAGUAGCAAUACUGUGGGUGGCGAGUGGCGGACGGGUGAGGAAUACAUCGGAAUCUGCCUAGUCGUGGGGGAUAACGUAGGGAAACUUACGCUAAUACCGCAUACGACCUACGGGUGAAAGCGGGGGAUCGCAAGACCUCGCGCGAUUAGAUGAGCCGAUGUCCGAUUAGCUAGUUGGCGGGGUAAUGGCCCACCAAGGCGACGAUCGGUAGCUGGUCUGAGAGGAUGAUCAGCCACACUGGAACUGAGACACGGUCCAGACUCCUACGGGAGGCAGCAGUGGGGAAUAUUGGACAAUGGGCGAAAGCCUGAUCCAGCCAUGCCGCGUGUGUGAAGAAGGUCUUCGGAUUGUAAAGCACUUUAAGUUGGGAGGAAGGGCAGUAAGUUAAUACCUUGCUGUUUUGACGUUACCGACAGAAUAAGCACCGGCUAACUUCGUGCCAGCAGCCG